This 341-nucleotide long non-coding RNA is filed under the name Gossypium raimondii (Peruvian cotton). RNAcentral describes it as "long non-coding RNA (GRAI_LNC008209)". Lineage: Eukaryota; Viridiplantae; Streptophyta; Magnoliopsida; Malvales; Malvaceae. The record is from RNAcentral.
UGAAAGCUAGUUGAGGAGUGGUGAUGGAGGAGAUCCAUUGGCCAUAAAGUGGCCUUAACCACUAAAUGAAGGUGUUUGGUGUGACAAAACCCAAGAACGAAUAGAACUCCAACCAAUGAAAAAAACUAGUGACUAUGGCAUCUAACAAGGGCAUCUAACAAGGAGAUCGGGGCUUGCUAUGGAGGAAACAAACCUAAAAAAGAAAAAGAAAAGAAAAGGACACCACCUUAAAUAAGAUGACUAGAAACUGAGGAAAAAGGAGUGAGAUUUGAGCUUAUUAUACUUAAGAGACCAUGCAAAGGAGUGGCUGGCUAGCGGCGACCGGAGCAAAAAUUGGCCGC